CGCGUGAGUGCGCGUAGUCGCGCGCCUGUCCCCGCGCGGGCUCCGUAGCGCGUGUACAGGCUGACGCAGCUCGGGGGCCCUCCUCCUGCUCUGCAGCGGCUCGGCGUAGUUUUGGGCGUUUGGGAGGGGGCGAAGGAGCGAGAGUCGAAAGAGGGAGGCGGCGGCGGCGGCGACGGGGAGGAGGAGGAGGAGGAGGAGGAGCAGGCGCCGCCAUGGCCGCCGCUAUCACCGACAUGGCCGACCUGGAGGAGCUCUCCCGCCUGAGCCCUCUGCCCCCCGGCAGCCCUGGUUCGGCGGCUCGGGACCGGGCUGAGCCCCCCGAGGAGGAGGAGGAAGAGGAGGAGGAGGAAGAGGAGGCGGAGGCCGAGGCGGUGGCGGCGCUGCUGCUGAACGGCGGCAGCGGUGGGGGCGGCGGAGGCGGCGGCGGAGUGGGGGGCGGCGAGGCGGAGACGAUGUCGGAGCCGAGCCCCGAGAGCGCCAGCCAGGCCGGGGAGGACGAGGACGAGGAGGAGGACGACGAGGAGGAGGAGGAUGAGAGCAGCAGCAGCGGCGGGGGUGAGGAGGAGAGUAGCGCCGAGAGCCUGGUGGGCAGCAGCGGCGGGAGUAGCAGCGACGAGACCCGAUCGCUGAGCCCCGGAGCCGCCAGCAGCAGCAGCGGGGAUGGGGACGGCAAAGAGGGCCUGGAGGAGCCCAAGGGACCGCGGGGCAGCCAGGGCGGCGGCGGGGGCGGCAGCAGUAGCAGCAGCGUCGUCUCCAGCGGCGGCGACGAGGGCUACGGGACUGGGGGAGGCGGAAGCAGCGCGACCUCCGGGGGCCGGCGAGGCAGCUUGGAGAUGUCGUCGGAUGGGGAACCGCUGAGCCGCAUGGACUCGGAGGACAGCAUAAGCAGUACUAUAAUGGAUGUAGACAGCACAAUUUCCAGUGGGCGUUCAACUCCAGCAAUGAUGAAUGGACAAGGAAGCACUACUUCUUCAAGCAAAAAUAUUGCCUAUAAUUGUUGUUGGGACCAGUGCCAGGCUUGCUUCAACUCUAGCCCAGAUCUGGCAGAUCACAUCCGUUCCAUACAUGUAGAUGGUCAGCGAGGAGGGGUAUUUGUUUGCUUAUGGAAAGGUUGUAAAGUAUAUAAUACUCCGUCAACCAGUCAAAGCUGGUUACAAAGGCAUAUGCUGACACACAGUGGAGACAAACCUUUCAAGUGUGUUGUUGGUGGCUGCAAUGCCAGCUUUGCUUCUCAGGGAGGGCUAGCUCGCCAUGUACCCACACACUUCAGUCAGCAGAACUCCUCAAAAGUUUCUAGCCAGCCAAAGGCCAAAGAAGAAUCUCCUUCUAAAGCUGGAAUGAACAAAAGGAGGAAAUUAAAGAACAAAAGACGACGCUCAUUACCACGACCACAUGAUUUCUUCGAUGCACAAACACUGGAUGCGAUAAGACAUCGAGCCAUAUGCUUUAACCUCUCAGCUCAUAUAGAAAGUUUAGGGAAGGGACACAGUGUCGUUUUUCAUAGUACUGUAAUAGCUAAGAGAAAAGAAGAUUCUGGGAAGAUAAAACUUUUGCUUCAUUGGAUGCCUGAAGAUAUUCUGCCUGAUGUGUGGGUGAAUGAAAGUGAACGACAUCAGUUAAAAACUAAAGUAGUUCAUUUAUCAAAGCUACCCAAAGAUACUGCCUUGCUUUUGGACCCAAACAUAUACAGAACAAUGCCGCAGAAGAGGUUGAAGAGGUCAGAAUUAUUUUCACGGUACCAAACUGCUGCUCACAGAGUGAGAACAUGAACGUGCACUGUGACACCACUACAAAGUUGUGUCCAGUGUUUCUGCCACAGCCAGUGCCUAGCAUGAUCAUCCAUGGCACAGAAUAGUCUCUAAAUUACUUGUUAAAUGAGUAUCAUAGAAUGCUGCCUGAGGUCCGGCUCUGUGUCUUCACCUUCUUGUUUGCCUGGAGAGAUUCCGGCUACCGGCAACUGAUGGAAUGAAAUGCCUUUGAUUGCUGCUCCAGAGUAUCGGGACAUGCAUUUUGCUGGGCAGUAAACACACUGUUCACAGUUAUGGUCAUUUUUCCAAUGUUGCAAGAAAGACCAUUUAUGAUUUUAGCACCAAAAACCCAAUGAGAUUGUUUUAUUAGCCUUAUUAUAAAAAGACAAAAAAGAAAGAAAAGAGAAAACUAUUACAAAGUAUCAGCGUGUUCAGGUGAAGGAAUAAGAUACUUCUAAUAGUUUUAAAGCUCAAAGCUAAGGAACUGGGGUAUCUAAAUGUAGCUUUAGGACUGCCAUAGGUCGCAUGAGCUUGCUUUCUGUUUGUGAAGGAAAACUUGCCAGUUGAAGAAAUGUGGCACACAUGCUGUAAUAUAACAGGAAAGGAAGGCUUUUUGUGCCAAGAAAUCAUUCACGUGAGCUGAGAUCCUUUUAGCAAAUCUGGUGGCAAGCUCUUUCUAAAAGCCUGCAUGAAGAAGGCGAUAAUCUGAAAUUGUGUUCAUGGAGCCACCUUCAGCCUUUCAUAUGGAGUUUGCAGAGCCCGUCUAAAAGCUCAAAUCCAGCCCUUGCCGUUCUGCUUUUGUGCAGCCAAAUGGUGCACAAAGACCGCUUCUCUGGCUAAUUGGAAUAGCUUCCAGGGGGUGGUGAUGGUUUUCACAUUUAUAGCAAGUUCUAGAUCUGACUAGAGAUGCCGCAGGCCCCCCAAAAUGAGCCGUCAGUACUUCAGGGGUGGAGUUAACCAACUAGUGCCUCUCAGAGUAAUGUUCGAGUUCAGAACUGCAAGGGCGGACAGUUCACGGGGGGGGCACUCCCUGUAACCUUUGUCCUUUAUCACAUUUGGCUCCAUACGUUUUUCUUAAGUAGUGGCCCCAUUUGCAAAUCACGUUUUACUUACGAUAUUUUUAUAUUGCUGGAAACUCAAAAGCUUUCCGCCUUCAACUCCCUGAGCCUGGGUAAAAUUCCACCCUUCUUCAUAUUUGCAAGUCUGUUUCCUCUUUGAAAGGGAAACACACUGUUUUCAUCUCAGCUCUGUGUAUUUGACCUUCCAUAUUACUGAUUAUUUCAGAAAUAAAAAAGGAAUUGCUGCCCCUGCAUUCUUUUCCCAGUUUGAGUCCUUUCUCAGUUAGUGAGGCCCCUUUGACCUUGACCUCUGGAGAGAAUUCAGCAAAGGCAAGAACUGGGCCAAGAAUUAAAUUGGAUCAGACUUCUGAGUAGUGUCCAAAACACUAUACUGGGGCUUCUAUCAUCCUGAAUAAGGACCACAAAAUGACCCCUACAAUUUACUGUCCUCGCCAGCAUAAGCAUGAUAGGAAAUAUGGGGGAUGUUACUACUUUUUUCUUCCUUUUAAAUAAGUAUAAUAAUAUCACAAAAUUACUAUAAUAAUAAUUUUGAGGCAGAGUCUCACGCUGCUGCCCAGUCUGGAGUGCAGUCGCACAAUCUCUGCUCAUUGCAACCGCUGCCUCCUGGGUUCAAGCAAUUCUCCUGCCUCAGCCUCCCAAGCAGAUGGGUUUACAGGUGUACACUACUGUACCUGGCUAAUUUUGGUAUUUUUAGUACAGAUGGGGUUUCACCAUGUUGGCCAGGCUGGUCUUGAACUCGUGACCUUAAAUGAUCCGUCCACCUCGGCCUCCCAAAGUGCUGGGAUUACAGGCUUGAAGCAGCUCACCCCACCCUGCUCUCUUAUGAGGACAUCACUCUUACUAGAUUAUGGGCCUAUCCUAACUGACUAUGACCUCAUCUUUUUUUUUUUUUUUUUUUUUUUUUUUUGAGACAGAGUUUGGCUCUUCUUACCCAGGCUGGAGUGCAAUGGUGCAAUCUCGGCUCACCGCAACCUCCGCCUCCUGGGUUCAGGCAAUUCUCCCGCCUCAGCCUCCUGAGUAGCUGGGAUUACAGGCACGCGCCAUCAUGCCCAGCUAAUUUUUUGUAUUUUUAGUAGAGACGGGGUUUCACCAUGUUGACCAGGAUGGUCUCAAUCUCUUGACCUCGUGAUCCACCCGCCUCGGCCUCCCAAAGUGCUGGGAUUACAGGUGUGAGCCACCGCGCCCGGCCGGCUAUGACCUCAUCUUAUCUUGAUUACUUCUGAUUCAAACUAGGAACGCAACAUAUUGUUUUGGGGGACACACUAGACAGAUACCAACUGAGCAUCAUCUAACUUACUUUGGUAUUUUGUUUGGUGGUACCCUAUGGAGAAAAGUUUUGGCCCACACUGGUAAGUAAUUAAAAAUGGGAGGUUGUUUUUUUUUAAAGAAUGUUUAACCAUGACACUUUGCAAUCUCAAUUUCAAUUUUUUUCAGUUAAAUGGAUCCAGAAGUCUGAAAGAGCAAUAUUAGGUAAUUUAUAGACUGGUGUUAAGUUACUGACAGUGUCUUUGAAAACACUCACCUUCCUUACUGGGGAGUAUUCACUUUUGAAAAGGGGUCAAUGAAUGGACUUCCAAGGAGGCUGAAAUCAUCGUCUUACUUGGCUGGCGCUGUGUGUUCAAAGCCUGAGUUCUUCAAUGGUGACUUAUUUUUUGUGCAUGUGUGGAGACAAGUUCUCAUUUGGUUGCCCAGUCUGGAGGGCAGUGGCACAAUCUUGGCUCACUGCAAUCUCCGCCUCCCGGGUUCAAGCAAUUCUCGUGACUCAGCCUUCCAAAUAGCUGGGAUUACAGACACACGCCACCACACCCUGCUAAUUUUUGUAUUUUUGGUAGAGACGGGGUUUCACUAUGUUGGCCAGUCUGGUCUGAAACUCCUGGCCUCAAGUGAUUAACACACCUCAGCCUCCCAAAAUCCCAAAGUGUUGGGAUUACAGGCGUGAGUCACCGGUUCCAGCCUCAAUGGUGACUUUUGAAAACAUCUCGUUAGUGGCAUGUUCUGUCAGACGUUCCCUCAGGACUUCAAAAGAGGAAUAAUAAUUUUGUUUUUUGAGUGUAAACUUGGUUUCAGUUGUGUUGCCGACACUUUGCUGCUGUUGUGAGCAGUGAUGUGGAAACCACGCACGGCUGAGUGAGCCCAUCGCUUAAUUAAAAAUAGCAUCUUAAAAAAAAAACAGAAGUGGGGAGGAAAAUAGCGUCUAGGUACUUCACCUGGUACACCUAUGUUCUAGAGUUGUUUACUCACUGGAAUUUUUUUUUAAACAAAAACGUUAUUUAUAUUUUUAUUUGAAAUAUCUGUACCAGAACCUUGUCUUGAAACUAUUAAAAACUUCAAUGUUAAAACAUACAUUCUAGAACUGACUAUCCUUAUCAGGACAAAUGAAGAAGAGAAUGAAAUAAUAGCAAUAAUAGUGAAACCAAACCUUAUGAUUUGUAGUUGCUAUAUAAUGAAUUUUGCUGUUGUGUGCUGUUUAAUAUAAACCCUAACCCCAGCUCUGCUUAGCAUUAGCUAACUCCUUGUAAAAGCUACCUUCUCUGUCUCCCCACAUUCUCAGCAGAGCUCCCAGGCAUCUCAAGACUCCUGCUUUUCUUGCUGACCAGUUGCAAGGUCACAGGGCAAGAUCACACCCAAAGAAUAUACAAUGGUUUCUCAAAAUGCUGUUUUUCAAAUGUAACAUACAUCAGAAAACGUGUUACAAAUGAGCUGUUCUUUGUUCUGGCUUCAGGAAACGGAAGCUGCUAAGUCAUCCUGGAUGUAUCGAAAGUACCCCAUUUUCUUUCUCCUUUGCUCAGCCUUGGGGUGCUGAUCCGCCGAGCUGGUGGCCACCUUAAUAAAGUCCUCCUAUUUCACCCACUGGUCUUUCCGGUCUCCUGAAUAUUCUGCCACAUAAAUAACUCUGAAAGGUGCUAAGUUCACAGGCAAUGCCUAAAUUAGACAAUUGCGAAGUUUUACCAAAAGUCUUAAAAUGUUGCAGAGACAACUAUUUAGCACAAAUACAAUGACCAUGAGCUUAUUUUAGCAAUUGCUUUUACCUGAGCAACUCUUUUCACUCCAGAAUAGACUUGAUUACAUUUCAACAAGUUAUUCAAUGGUAUAUUAAAAUGGAAUCUAAACACUUUUUCCCCCAACCAGUUCUAUUUUAAAUAACACUUCUUUAUAGUUCAUUUGUGUGGCAAAAUAUAAAAACAAGCAAAAUACAGAGAUCAGCAAAUCCACAUUUUCAUCCAGGUGAAGUGAAAUUUAAGUUUUAUUUAUUUUUGGAAAAAUUUAAUUUUUAAAGAAAUUCACCAGAUAUGUAUUUUUUGUGUGUGUUUUUAGUAGAGACAGGCUUUCACCAUGUUGAUCAGGCUGGUCUCAAAUUCCUGACCUCAAAUAAUGCACCUGCUUCAGCCUCCCAAAGUGCUGAGAUUAUAAGUGUGAGCCACUGUCCCCAGCAGAUACAUAUUUUGAAUGUGUAUUUUUGGAUUAGAUCAGUGAUACCAGCCAGUAUGAUAUGGUCUCUCAAGGAUAUCUGCAGAUAUGUGGGGGCCAUUUUGGUUGCCUCAGUACCUACAAGUACACUCACGCUUAGUUUUCCAGCUCCAAGGAUGCUGGGUGACUUAUACUUGUCCCACCUUAGAUGCCAACAGGGCUUAAACUUUAUCAGAAAAUAAGAGUAAUUAUGUUUUUGUAAAUGCCUGUUUAUUGAACAUAGCUCAAACUUUCAUAAGCUCUUUUUGAUAGAAUAAAGAGCUUUCAUUUUCACAUUUAAAUUUUGUUCACAUAAAAUUUUUGUCGAUAACACUAAGUAUUUCAAUUAGGCAGGAACAUCUGAGUUCCCUACUUUUGAGCUUACAGUGUUUUGUUUGAAAAUCACGUAAUUUGGCAGGACUAUGGAACUGCUGUGUAAGAUUUCACCUCAUGAAAUACAAGUUGAGCCGUUUCAGUCACACUAAGAAUGAAACUGGGUGACAGAUCAUUCUCACUGUACUUUCUUGGCUUCCAAAGGUUUUCUGUGAAACUUCACAGGGACUUGCUCUCAUAUCAUAUGCUUUUGUUAGAGCAGUGCCAGAGUAACAAUGCCAGAGUAACAAUGCCAGACUGGCACUUUUCAUCAGGAGGUGCAGUUGUGUUUUAUUUAUCAUCAUAUUCCCUCAUUAAGUUUAAUUUUUAAACCGGUGAUUAAUUUCUGCUGAUUAUAUCACUAGAAAAAAAUUUAAAAAUCUAAACAAAAAGUGUCCAAGGCUUACGAUAAGCCUUAAUCUUAAAGAAUUAUCAUGUCAUGUGUUACUUGUCUGCUUGUUGCUGUACAGCCUUCUUAGGCUUUCUGACAAGAGCCGGUGCGAAGCAGAAGCACUCGAACCUCAUCUGGCAUUUGAUGAAUUUGAUUAAUGCGGGCUGUGGUAAGUCGACUCCCCUGCGUAAUUUUAUGAUAGAGGCCAUGUGCAAGUCCAGAAAAAGUGUCACGCAGAAUUACUACCUACUCAAUACUUAACUAUAUGCUAGAGAUGGCUAAAGCAGCUAUAUUUCUGCACAAACAUGAAGAAGGUGGCAUGGAAAUUAACAUGGUGGUGGUCUGCACAGUGUUCAAAGUUGGCGUUUUUAAUGACACUUAAAAAAUAGUUAAAAUAUAUAAUGGCUGAUUUCUGACCAGACUAAACUCUCAGCCUGUCUAAUGUUAGCUUGAUCUAAUCAAUUUCAUCCUUUUCCUCAGUCCAGUCUUGUAAUUGCUAUGUCAGUUUCAGUUUGCGGCAAUACUAGUGCAAAUAUGGCUCCUUCUUAAGAUUUUUCUUCUUUUCCCUCAUGUGGGUCCUGGUUCUAAAUUCCCAAGGGCUGACAUGAUUGACAUUUGCCAUAGCUGAGGAGGGAGCACUUCGUUUUUGUGGUCUUUCCUUGCCAUGGUUCAUUGGGCAGUGAAUGGCAAGUCUGCCUGUGUUUCUGUGCUUCACCCGAAACACCUCAGCAGAAAUGAUAACCUUCGACUUUAGCUGUGUCCUUUUUUACUUAUGUCGGGAGGCCUGUGCCAUACCUUUGAUUAAAAAACCUUUUUUUUUUUUUCUGAGACAGGCUGUUGCUUUGUCACCUGGCUGAAAUGUAGUGCUGCAGCUCACUGCAGUCCCACGUAGCUGGCACUUACAGGGAGGUGCCACCAUGCCUGGCUAAUUUUUGAAUUUUUUGUUGAAACAGGGUCUUGCUGGCCGGGCAUGGUGGUUCAUGCCUGUAAUCCCAGCACUUUGGGAGGCUGAAGCGGGUGGAGCACGAGGUUAGAAGCCUGGUCAACAUGGUGAAAUCACAUCUCCACUAAAAAUAUGAAAGAAAACAAAUCAGCUGGGCAUGGUGGUGUGCACCUGUAAUCCCACCUGCUCCGGAAGCUGAUGCAGAAUUGCUUAAACCCGAGAGGUGGAGGUUGCAGUGAGCCAAGGUCAUGCCACUGGACUCCAGCCUGGGUGACAGAGCAAGACUCUGCCUCAAAAAAAAAAAAACCUCAAUAAAACAAAAAAUCAGGGUCUUGCUGUGUUGCCCAGGCUGGUGGUCUCAAAUUCCUGGGCUCAAGCAAUUAUCCUGCCUCAGCCUCCCAAAGUGUUAGGAUUACAGGUGCGAGCCACUGGACCUGGCCUAAAAAUUUUUUUAAUUUUAAUUUUUGUGGGUACAUGGUAGGUACAUAUGUAUGGGGUGCAUGACAUAGUUCGAUAUAGGUAUACAAUACAUAAUAAUCACAUAAUUUACAUAAUUAUUAUGUAAAUGUAGUAUAUAUCACCUCAAUACAUUUAUCGUUUGUGUUACAAGCAAUCCAGUUAUUCUCUUUAGUUAUUUUACAUGUACAAUUAAAUUAUUGACUGUAGUUACUGUGUUGUGCUCCUAGGCACUAGAUCUUACUCAUUUUUUCUGUUUUCUGUACCUGCUAACCAUUCCCGCUUCCUCCCCAGUCUUUCCCCACUACCCUUCCAGCCGCUGGUGACCAUUAUUUACUCUGUGUCUCCGUGAGUUCCAUUGUUUUAAUUUUUGUCUUCAACAAAUAAGCGAGAAGGCAAAGUUUGUCUUUCUGUGCCUGGCUUAUUUCACUUGACAUAAUGGCCUCCAGUUCCGUCCAUACUGUUGCAAAUGACAGCAUCUCGUUCUUAUUUUAUGGCAGAAUAGUACACCAUUGUGUAUAAGUACCAUAUUUCCUUUUUUUUUUUUUUUUUAGAGAUGGAGUUUCACUCUUGUUACCCAGGCUGGAGUGCAAUGGCGUGAUCACCGCAACCUCCGCCUCCUGGGUUCAGGCAAUUCUCCUGCCUCAGCCUCCUGAGUAGCUGGGAUUACAGGCACGCACCACCAUGCCCAGAUAAUUUUUGUGUAUUUUUAGUAGAGACGGGGUUUCACUAUGUUGACCGGGAUGGUCUCGAUCUCUUGACCUCGUGAUCCACCCACCUCGGCCUCCCAAAGUGCUGGGAUUACAGGUGUGAGCCACCGCGCCCGGCCCAUAUUUUCUUUAUCCAUUCGUCGGUUCACAGACACUUGGGUUGCUUCCAAAUCUUGUGCAUAGUGCUGCAGUAAACAUGCAAAUCCAGGCAUCUCUUUAAUGUACUGAUUUCCCUUUUUUUUUCCUUGAGACAGCAACUUGCUCCGCUGCCCAGGCUGGAGUGCAGUGGUGUGAUCGUGGCUCACUCCGGCCUCAACCUUCUGGGCUCAAGCGAUCCUCUUGCUUCAGCCUCCCAAGUAGAUGGGAUUACAGGUGCACACCACCACACACAGCUAAUUUUUUGUAUGUUUGUGGAGAUGAGGUUUCUCCAUGUAGCUUGGGCUGGUCUCAAACUCCCGAGCUCAAGCAAUUCUCCUGCCUCAGUCUCCUGCAGCGCUGGUGUUACAGCUGUGAGUCACUGCGCCUGAUUUCGACUUCCUUUCCUUUGGAUGUACAAGCAGCAGUGGGAUUGCUGGAUCAUAUGGGAGCUCUGUUUUUAGUUUUUUGAGGAGCCUCCGAACUGUUUUCCACAGUAAUUGUACGAAUUUACCUUCCCACCACCUGCAUGCAAGGGCUCUCAUUUCUCCACAUCUUUACCAGCAUUUGCUAUUGCCUGCCUUUUGGAUAAAAGCCAUUUUAACUGGAGUGAGAUGAUUCUCAUUGUAGUUUUGAGAUGCAUUUUUCUGAUGAUCCGUGAUGUUGAGCACUUUUUCAUAAACCUGUAUGCCCUUUGUAUGUUUUUUUUUUUUUUUUUGAGAAACGUUGACUCGGAUAUUUUGCCUAUUUUUAGUCAGAUUAUUAGAUUUUUUCUUAUAGAGUUGUUAGAGCUCCUUAUAUAUUCUGGUUAUUAAUCCCUUGUCACAUGGGUAGUUUGCAAAUAUUUUCUCCUAUUCUGUGGGUUGUCUCUUCACUUUUUGUUCAUUGUUUCAUUUGCUGUGCAGAAGCUUUUUAACUUGAUGUGAUCCCAUUUCCCCAUUUCUGCUUUGGUUUCCUGUACUUGUGACGUAUUCAGGAAAUCUUUGCCCGAACUGAUGAUGUCCUGGAGAGUUUCCCAAUGUUAUUUCUCUCUUUUUAUUAUUAUUAUACAUCAUAGUAUUUAAAAUAUUUUCUUUUAGUAGUUUCAUCGUUUGAGAUCUUAGAUUUUCAUCUUUAAUCCAUUUUGAUUUGAUUUUUGUAUAUGGAGAAAGAUAGGGGUCUAUUUUCAUUCUUCUGCAUGUAGAAAUCCAGUUUUCCCUGCACCAUUUUUGAGGAGACUGUUCUUUCCCUAGUGUAUGUUCUUGGCAACUUUAUAAAAAAUGAGUUCCCCGUAGAUACAUGGAUUUGUUUUGGGGUUCUCUGUUCUGUUUUGGUUCCUAUCGCUUCUGUAGAAGUCAAGUAAUAUGAUUCUUCCAGUUUUACUCUUUUUGCUUAAAGUUUUCUGGGUAUUUUGUGAUUCCACAUAAAUUUUAGAAUUGUUUUACCUUCUUUUUUCUCUUUUUGAGACAGGGUCUCACUCUGUCACCCAGGCUGGAGUGCAGUGACAUGAUCUCAGCUCACUGCAACCUCUGUCCCCUGGGCUUACGUGAUCCACCCGCCUAUGUCACCAUAGCCAGAUCAUUUUUGUGUUUUUUUAAAAUUUGAGAUGGGGUUUUACCAUGCUUCCCAGGUUGAAAUUCAGGAUUGUUUUUUCUUUUUCGGGGAAGAAUGUCAUUGGUAUUUUGAUAGGCAUUACAGUGAGUCUGUAGACUGCUUGGAUAGAAUGGACUUUUAACAAUAUUGAUUCUUCUAAUCUAUGAACAUGGAAUAUCUUUCCAUUAUUUGAUGUCCUCUUCAAUUUCUUGCAUCGGUGUUUUAUACUUUUCAUUAUAGAGAUCUUUCAUUUUUCGGUUGAUUCCUAAGUAUUUAAUUUUAUUUGUGGCAAUUGUAAAUGGGAUUACUUUCUUGAUUUCUUUUUCAGAUUUCACUGUUGGCAUAUAGAAGUGCUACUGAUUUUGGUAUGUUGAUUUUGUUUCCUGUAACUUUGUUGAACUGAUUUAAUAGUUUUUUGGUGGAGUCUUUAGUGUUUUCCAAGUAUAAAGUCAUAUCAUCUGCAAACAAGGGUAAUUUGACUUCUCCAAUUUGGAUGAUCUUUAUUUAUUUCUCUUGUCUGAUAUCUCCAGUGCUAUGCUGAAUAACAGCGGUGAAAGGGGGCAUCUUUGUCAUGUUCCGUAUCUUAGAGAAAAGACUUUCAGUCUUUCCCCAUUCAGUAUGAUACGAGCUGUGGGUCUGUCAUAGAUGGCUUUUAUUAGGCUGAAUAUGUUCCUUCUAUAUCCAGUUAUUUGAGGGGUUUAUUAUUAAGGUUGUUGAAUUUUAUCAAAUAGUUUUUCAACAUCAAUUGAAAGUAUCAUGGUUUUUGUCUUUCAGUCUGUUGAUAUGAUGUAUCCCAUUGACUGAUUUGUGUACAUCGAACUAUCCUUGAAUCUCUGGAGUAAAUCGCACUUGUUCAUGAUGAAUGGUCUUUUCAGUGUGUUUUGUUGAUUUCAGUAUUUUGUUGAGAAUUUUCACAUCAGUGUUUAUCAGGGAUACUGACCUACAGUUUUCUUUUAAAAUGUGUCAUUGUCUGGUUUUGGGAUCAGGGUAUUACUGACCUUGUAGAAUGAGCUUGGAAGUAUUCCCUUCUCCUUUAUUUUGUGGAAUAGUUUGAGUAGGGUUGAUGUUAGUUCUUCUUCCUCUUCUCUUUUUUUGACUCCCUUUCCUGUCCCCCACCAAUUCCCCUGCCUACUCCGAUGUUAAUUCUUCUUUAAAUGUUUGAUAAAAUUCAGCAGUGAAGGCAUCAGGUCCUGGUCUUUUCUUUGCUAGGAGACCUUUUGUUAUGAAUGGCUUCAGUCCCAUCACUUGUUAAGGUUUGUUUAGGUUUUGGGUUUCCUCAUGGUUUAAUCUUGGUAGGUUGUAAGUAUCUAGGAAUUUACAGUUCUUUUCUAGGUUUUCCAAUUAUUUAUUUUUAAUUAUUUAUUAAAUUUUUUUCGUUCCAGAGGUUCUUGGGGAACUGGUGGUAUUUGAUUACAUGAAUAAAUUAAUUAGUGGUUAUUUGUGAGAUUUUGGUGCACUUAUCACCUGAGCAGUAUACACUGAACCCAAUAUUGGUUAUUUGUGAGAUUUGGUGCACCCAUCACCUGAGCAGUAUACACUGAACCCAAUAUUGGUUAUUUGUGAGACGUUGGUGCACCCAUCACCUGAGCAGUAUACACUGAACCCAAUAUUGGUUAUUUGUGAGACGUUGGUGCACCCAUCACCUGAGCAGUAUACACUGAACCCAAUAUUGGUUAUUUGUGAGAUUUUGGUGCACCCAUCACCUGAGCAGUAUACACUGAACCCAAUAUUGGUUAUUUGUGAGACGCUGGUGCAUCCAUCACCUGAGCAGUAUACACUGAACCCAAUAUUGGUUAUUUGUGAGACUUUGGUGUACCCAUCACCUGAGCAGUAUACACUGAACCCAAUAUUGGUUAUUUGUGAGACGUUGGUGCAUUCAUCACCUGAGCAGUAUACACUGAACCCAAUAUUGGUUAUUUGUGAGAUUUUGGUGCACCCAUCACCCGAGCAGUAUACACUGAACCCAAUAUUGGUUAUUUGUGAGAUUUUGGUGCAUCCAUCACCUGAGCGGUAUACACUGAACCCAAUAUUGGUUAUUUGUGAGACGUUGGUGCACCCAUCACCUGAGCAGUAUACACUGAACCCAAUAUUGGUUAUUUGUGAGACUUUGGUGCACCCAUCAUCUGAGCGGUAUACACUGAACCCAAUAUUGGUUAUUUGUGAGAUUUGGUGCAUCCAUCAUCUGAGAGGUAUACACUGAACCCAAUAUUGGUUAUUUGUGAGAUUUGGUGCACCCAUCAUCUGAGAGGUAUACACUGAACCCAAUAUUGGUUAUUUGUGAGACGCUGGUGCACCCAUCACCUGAGCAGUAUACACUGAACCCAAUAUUGGUUAUUUGUGAGAUUUGGCGCACCCAUCACCUGAGCAGUAUACACUGAACCCAAUAUUGGUUAUUUGUGAGACUUUGGUGCACCCAUCACCUGAGCAGUAUACACUGAACCCAAUAUUGGUUAUUUGUGAGACUUUGGUGCACCCAUCACCUGAGCAGUAUACACUGAACCCAAUAUUGGUUAUUUGUGAGACGUUGGUGCACCCAUCACCUGAGCAGUAUACACUGAACCCAAUAUUGGUUAUUUGUGAGAUUUGGUGCAUCCAUCACCUGAGCAGUAUACACUGAACCCAAUAUUGGUUAUUUGUGAGACUUUGGUGCACCCAUCACCUGAGCAGUAUACACUGAACCCAAUAUUGGUUAUUUGUGAGACGUUGGUGCACCCAUCACCUGAGCAGUAUACACUGAACCCAAUAUUGGUUAUUUGUGAGAUUUGGUGCAUCCAUCACCUGAGCAGUAUACACUGAACCCAAUAUUGGUUAUUUGUGAGACUUUGGUGCACCCAUCAUCUGAGCGGUAUACACUGAACCCAAUAUUGGUUAUUUGUGAGAUUUGGUGCAUCCAUCACCUGAGCAGUAUACACUGAACCCAAUAUUGGUUAUUUGUGAGAUUUGGUGCACCCAUCACCUGAGCAGUAUACACUGAACCCAAUAUUGGUUAUUUGUGAGACUUUGGUGCACCCAUCACCUGAGCAGUAUACACUGAACCCAAUAUUGGUUAUUUGUGAGACUUUGGUGCACCCAUCACCUGAGCAGUAUACACUGAACCCAAUAUUGGUUAUUUGUGAGACGUUGGUGCACCCAUCACCUGAGCAGUAUACACUGAACCCAAUAUUGGUUAUUUGUGAGACGUUGGUGCACCCAUCACCUGAGCAGUAUACACUGAACCCAAUAUUGGUUAUUUGUGAGACGUUGGUGCACCCAUCACCCGAGCAGUAUACACUGAACCCAAUAUUGGUUAUUUGUGAGACGUUGGUGCACCCAUCACCUGAGCAGUAUACACUGAACCCAAUAUUGGUUAUUUGUGAGACGUUGGUGCACCCAUCACCUGAGCAGUAUACACUGAACCCAAUUUGUAGUCUUUGAUUCCUCGCCCACUUUCCACCCUUUACUCCUGAGUCCCCAAAGUCCAUUGUGUCAUUCUUACGCCUUUGCAUCCUCAUAGCUUAGCUCACACUUAAGAGUGAGAACGUACAAUGUUUGGUUUUCCGUUCCUGAGUUACUUCACUUAGAAAAAUAGUCUCCAAUCUAUCCAGGUAGCUGUGAAUGCCACUAAUUCAUUCCUUUUUAUGGCUGAGUAGUAUUCCAUUGUAUAUAUAUACCACAGUUUCUUUAUCCAUGAUAAAAAUGUGUGUUUAAUCUCAGCACUUUGGGAGGCCGAGGCUGGCGGAUCACGAGGUCAAGAGAUUGAGACUAGCCUGGCCAACAUAGUGAAACCCCGUCUCUAUUAAAACACAAAAAUUAGCUGGGUGUGGUGGCGGGCCCCUGUAGUCCCAGCUACAUGGGAGAUUGAGUUAGGAGAAUUGCUUGAAGCCGGGAGGCAGAGGUUACAGUGAGCUGAGAUUGCACCACUGCACUCCAGCCUGGCGCCUGGCAAAAGAGCAAGACACUGUCUCAAAAAAAAAAAAAAAAAAAAAGAAAGAAA
This is an RNA transcript of Callithrix jacchus (white-tufted-ear marmoset), 14826 nucleotides long. It is a transcript of the gene named AE binding protein 2, with no coding region annotated. The record is from RefSeq and is a predicted model, not a curated record. Lineage: Eukaryota; Metazoa; Chordata; Mammalia; Primates; Cebidae.